AGGGCCAUUAGCUCAGUUGGUAGAGCAGCGGUCUCCAAAACCGCGUGCCGAGGGUUCAAGUCCUUCUGCCCCUGCCA
Molecule: transfer RNA, 77 nt
Filed under: Clostridia bacterium
Lineage: Bacteria; Bacillati; Bacillota; Clostridia
Description: tRNA-Trp
Rfam family: tRNA
About the family: Transfer RNA (tRNA) molecules are approximately 80 nucleotides in length. Their secondary structure includes four short double-helical elements and three loops (D, anti-codon, and T loops).
Source: RNAcentral